Long non-coding RNA from Triticum aestivum (bread wheat), 1115 nucleotides. RefSeq lists it as uncharacterized. The record is from RefSeq and is a predicted model, not a curated record. The transcript has 4 exons. NCBI's taxonomy places the organism in Eukaryota, Viridiplantae, Streptophyta, Magnoliopsida, Poales, Poaceae.
GAUUAGGCUGUGGUUUUUUUUUUUGUCAUUGGAGGCAUAAGAAUUACAAAGUUCAGACUGAUAUUCCUUGCCGGUAGAAAAAUAAAGUGGGUACUGAUAUUUGUGUACUCUUUUUAAGUCAUUUCUAACCAGAACAGUUUGCAUUAUAUCAACCCAUUCUACAAAAAUCGAUAUGUGCAUGAAGCAAAUUUCUGGCGCUGGCAUAGUGUUAUUCGAUGGUCGGCUAUGAUGUUUACAGUGGCUCCUUUUCUUUUCUCUUCAGGUUGCCCAGUGGAAGGGAGCAGUACUAACGGCGUGCCACAGGUCAGUUUACUGCUUAUCGGCUACUUUUCUUUGUUCCAUGCCGGGGAAUCAAGCAGUUAUUCAUGGGUUGGGAGCCCCACAAUGCUUCACAAGGUGCGCGACCUGCCUUUUGCUUUCUUCAGCGACCCUGAGUUGAUGCUCAUCUUGGCUGCUGCUCUCGUUGCCGUUUGUUAUGGCAGUGAUCGGAACAGAAGUGUGGUACUUGAAGAAAUAGGUUCAGAUAUGCUCCAUUAAUUCUUUGCUUAGAUCCUGCAGAGCUCAGCACCGGCUACUUUUGGAUCCCAUUGACGCGGAUGGCUCUGGAGCCAAUAAUUCCAGUGACAGCACACAGGUCUCGCCGGAUAUCAGAAGCUCACUGUCUGACAUCUCAAUGUUGUAAAGCCGCCAGUAUCAGGAAAAGGCGGUUCAGGGGCCAUCAGAUUUUGAACAGAAAUGGGAACCAAAAGGAUGGUAGAGGAACAAGAACUGGUGUUGAUGGUAGAGGGCCGGCGGUGCAUAACAGAAACACUGAAUAGCACAAGCUGACCAGACCUUCACAAGAAGCUACCGAAUUAGGGUUUCCGAGGCGGUGGCGGCGUCUGACUAAUGAACCACGAGGCAGCGGCAUAUCAUAGUGGCGAUUACGGGAUAUGAUCGUAUAGUUCCAGUUUACCCGACGUGUUGUUUUCGGUGGGCCAAAGAUGCCAGGUCCGUGAGUCGUCAUGUAGAGAAUAAGUUUGCGAUGUUGUGUUAUGUAUGCCUCUAAUUUGCCUGUCCAUAUAUACUCCAAAAGAACCGUGUGAAAGAAGAAAGUAACGAUCAACUGUACCAAA